Molecule: long non-coding RNA, 327 nt
Filed under: Selaginella moellendorffii
Lineage: Eukaryota; Viridiplantae; Streptophyta; Lycopodiopsida; Selaginellales; Selaginellaceae
Description: long non-coding RNA (SMOE_LNC000237)
Source: RNAcentral
ACACAUCCGAGAGGAGGAAGUCCAAGACGGCCGAGAGAAGACGCGCUGUGGAGGCGUUUAAGUUCUGGGUGGGACUUCCAAACAGUCUCUACAAAUCGGAGUGGAGACCUUUCGAGUGAGAAAAAAAUCGUAACUUGACAAGCUUUACCUGGAAAUCUUUGACGAGGCAGCGAAGAAAAUUAGAAAUCGCGCAUGGAAAGCUUUGCAACUUGGAAAAUCUCACUAUCAGCUUGUUCUCGGACAGCGCUAGACGAUCUAGCACCGAUCCUUGAGUGCUACAUUGUACCUGGCUGAUCUUGGAGCGCCCGAUCGAUCGCCGCGCCCAUU